RNAcentral lists this ribosomal RNA (1436 nucleotides) under metagenome. RNAcentral's name for it is "bacterial SSU rRNA". It matches the Rfam family "Archaeal small subunit ribosomal RNA". The record is from RNAcentral.
ACCCGUUGAUCCUGCGGGAGGUCGCUGCUAUCAGAGUUCGACUUAACUAAGCUAGCCCAGGGGCUUCUUCGGAAGCACCGGCAGACAGUUCCGUAACACGUCGAUAAUCUGCCCUUAGGUUGGGGAUAACCUGGGAAAACUGAGGCUAAUACCCGAUAUGAGAAAAAAACUGGAAUGUGUUUUCUCUUAAAGAUUACGCCUAAGGAUGAGUCGGCGGUCGAUUAGGCUGUUGGUGGGGUAAUGGCCCACCAAACCGAAGAUCGAUAGGGGCCUUGAGAGAGGUAGCCCCGAGGAGGACACUGAGAUAAGGGUCCUGACUCUACGGAGUAUAGCAAGUGCGAAAACUUUACAAUACAUGAAAGUGUGAUAAGGGAACUCUGAGUGCUUAUGCGUUGCAUAGGCUUUUGCCUAGAGUAAAAUCUAGGAGAAUAAGUGGUGGGCAAGACUGGUGCCAGCAGCCGCGGUAACACCAGCGCCACAAGUGGGGACCCGUGUUAUUGGGCCUAAAGCGUCCGUAGCCGGUUUAGAAAAUCUUCUGUGAAAUCGUUGGGCUCAACCCAACGGCGUGCAGGAGACACUACUAAACUUGAGUCCGGGAGGAGUCAGAGGUAUUUCUUGGGUAGCGGUAAAAUGCAAUAAUCCAAGAAGGACCACCUGUGGCGAAGGCGUCUGACUAGAACGGUUCUGACGGUGAGGGACGAAAGCCAGGGGAGCGAACCGGAUUAGAUAUCCGAGUAGUCCUGGCCGUAAACGCUGCGAGCAAGGUGUUGCAUAUUCUCCGAGAAUAUGCUGUGUCGAAGAGAAGUCGUUAAGCUCGCCGCCUGGUAGUACGGUCGCAAGACUGAAACUUAAAGGAAUUGGCGGGGGAGCACAACAAGGGGUGCGGCGUGCGGUUUAAUCCAACUCAACACGGAGAAUCUCACCAGAGGCGACGGCAGGAUGAAAGUCAGGCUGAAGACCUUACUCAACAAGCCGAGAGGUGGUGCAUGGCCGCCGUCAGCUCGUGCUGUGAAGUGUCCUGUUAAGUCAGGCAACGAGCGAGACCUGUACCUACAAUUGCCAUCAGCUAAUUUAUUAGGACUGGGCACAUUGUAGGGACUGCCUUGGAAACAAGGAGGAAGGUGCAGGCAACGGUAGGUCUGUAUGCCCCGAAUCCUCUGGGCUACACGCGCGCAACAAUGGUAGGGACAAUGGGACACAACUCCGAAAGGAGAAGUUAAUCCUCGAAACCCUAUCUCAGUUCAGAUUGAGGUUUGUAACUCAACCUCAUGACGUCGGAAUCCCUAGUAACCAGAUGUUAUCAUCAUCCGGUGAAUAUGUCCCUGCUCCUUGCACACACCGCCCGUCAAGCCAACCGAGCAGGGUUAAGGUAAAACCUAGUUUUUUGAUUAGGUUGAAUCUUGACUCAGUGAGGUGGGCUAAGUCGUCACAAGGUA